Non-coding RNA from Pelobates cultripes (western spadefoot toad), 108 nucleotides. The record is from the annotation of a GenBank genome assembly. Lineage: Eukaryota; Metazoa; Chordata; Amphibia; Anura; Pelobatidae.
AGUUUUAUUUGGGCAAAAGUAGUAAUGUUUCGACAUUUGCGGGUCUUCAUUAAGCUUGAUAAAGACCCAGUAGUGUCGAAACGUUACUGCUUUUGCCCCAAUAAAGCU